Molecule: ribosomal RNA, 510 nt
Filed under: uncultured bacterium
Lineage: Bacteria
Description: partial 16S ribosomal RNA
Rfam family: Bacterial small subunit ribosomal RNA
Source: RNAcentral
GACGAACGCUGGCGGCGUGCUUAACACAUGCAAGUCGAACGAAGAGCGAUGGAUGCUUGCUUCUAUCAAUCUUAGUGGCGAACGGGUGAGUAACGCGUAAUCAACCUGCCCUUCAGUGGGGGACAACAGUUGGAACCGACUGCUAAUACCGCAUACGAUCUAACCUCGGCAUCGAGGAGGGAUGACAGGUGGCCUCUAUUUAUAAGCUAUCACUGAAGGAGGGGAUUGCGUCUGAUUAGCAAGUUGGAGGGGUAACGGCCCACCAAGGCGAUGAUCAGUAGCCGGUCUGGGAGGAUGGACGGCCACAUUGGGACUGAGACACGGCCCAGACUCCUACGGGAGGCAGCAGUGGGGAAUCUUCCGCAAUGGACGAAAGUCUGACGGAGCAACGCCGCGUGAGGGAUGACGGCCUUCGGGUUGUAAAGCUCGGUUAAUCGGGACGAAAGGCCUUCUUGCGAAUAGUUAGAAGGAUUGACGGUACCGGAAUAGAAAGCCACGGCUAACUACGUG